Molecule: ribosomal RNA, 1380 nt
Filed under: Triticum aestivum (bread wheat)
Lineage: Eukaryota; Viridiplantae; Streptophyta; Magnoliopsida; Poales; Poaceae
Description: partial small subunit ribosomal RNA
Source: RNAcentral
AUGUACCCGUUCUGGCUGCGCGGCCACCACGCGCCACAAUGCGGCUACCCGACCUUCGGCGUCACGUGCGACGACCCCACCGGCACCAUGCUGCCCAGCCUCAGCGAGUCCUACCUCAGCCUCCUGGACAUCAAUUACGGCAACCGCUCCGUCGUGGCCAUCCACAGCAACCUGGUAAGCGGGGAACCCUGCCCCGCGACGCGGAUCAACGUGUCCAGUAGCCUCAGGCUCUCACAGCUGGCCGUCAGCGGCGCCAACUGGGAGCUCUUCUUCUCCAACAACUGCUCGCGCGCGCCGCCGUCGCCCGCAGGGGCGCUCUGGCUUAACUGCUCUGGCGCCAUCACCGGCACGUGGUCCGUGCACCUCGGGCGGAGGUACGCGGCGGGGCCGGCCGAGUGCCAGUAUUCGGCCAUGCCGGUGCUGCCCGGGUUAGAGCUGAGGUCGUGGGAUGACUACACAGCGAUUGUGAGGCGCGGGUUCCUGCUGGACUGGAUGGUGCCCGGUGACUGCGCCGCAUGCAAGGCGACCGGUGGGCAGUGCCGGUUCGAGGCCGGCACAAAUGUCUUCGGGUGCCUCUGCCCCGGCGGCGACAUGCAACUGGCCAAGUGCGGUGAGUUGCUGGUCAUGAUCCCUAUAUCUGCAUGCGAUAUCGUCACAGCUUUGACAUCAGCAGCUGCAGCACUGCUCUUCCCAUGUAUUUAUGUGUUGAUAUGGUAUAUGACGGGCAAAAGAAACUGGCUAAUCCUCUGGAAAAAGAAGAGCAGUAGCACUGAAAGGCAUUACGAGGCAAUGAUUGUAUUGUAUGGAUCACUUGCUCCAAAAAGAUACACCUACUCAGAGGUAAUGAAGAUGACGUCUUCUCGUCAUAAGCGGCUUGGUCAAGGUGGUUAUGGUGUAGUUUUCGAAGGAAAGCUACAUGAUGGUCGUCUGGUUGCUGUGAAAUUCUUGCAAGACUGCAAAGGAAACGGAGAGGAGUUUGUGAAUGAGGUUAUGAGCAUUGGCAGGACCUCCUAUGUGAAUGUUGUUAGGCGGUUUGGCUUUUGCUUGGAGGGAUCAAAACGAGCUCUUAUAUAUGAGUACAUGUGCAAUGGUUCCCUGGAAAGGUACAUUUACUCAGAGAACCCAAAAGAGAUUUUAGGAUGGGAGAGGCUCUAUGCGAUAGCGAUUGGGAUAGCCCAUGGACUAGAAUAUUUGCACCACAGUUGUAAUACACGGAUUGUCCAUUUUGACAUUAAACCUCAAAAUAUCCUUCUAGACAAAGAUUUUGGCCCAAAGAUUGCCGAUUUCGGUCUUGCUCAGCUGUGUCGUACCAAGGAGAGCAAGCUUUCGAUGGUUGGUGCUAGAGGAACAAUUGGAUUCAUUGUUCCAGAAGUUCACUAA